CGAGGAGGUAGAUUUUCGGAAGUCAGCCAGCCAGUCCUGAAGCAGGUCCAGCUGCUCACACCGGAUGGCACUGUCCUCUGCAGACAGGACAAGAGACCAGACUAUGAAGCUUGACCUGGACCCCAGCCAAGGCCCAGAAGGCCACUCUGGCUACCAAGACAGAAAUAUACCCACGAAUGCAACACAAAUGAGCAACAUGUCAGAAUGGGAAGGCUGGAACUGUGUUUCAGAAGACUGGAAAGCUGGGGACCCUAACUCUGGCAGAGCCAUGCAAGGGGCCUUGAGCACCCCAGGGUGGGGCCUAUGAGUGCCUUCCUUGUCCUUAACCAGCUCAGAUGGAGUCGUUGUGCCCUUACCUCCAGUAGGCACCGGCUCAGUAUUUUCCUGCACAGGUCGGGCUCAGUUAAGACUGGAACGGAGAAAUGAGAGAAACCUGCCCUGAGCCAUAGUCAGGGUCCUCCACUAAAGCAGCCCUUGAGUCAAAUCUCACUUGUAAGGGGAGAACCACAGGCAAAACAGCUGCUGCCCCUGGGGACAGAAAGCCCCGUCAGCGUCAGAUGGCCAAACGAUGCUUCAGAAAACUGGAUUCACUAGCAGUGGCUUUUAGAUAGAGAACAAAAAGUUGACACAGUAUCUCAGGCUCCAUCGAAGAUCAUGUGUAAUGGCCAAAUUACCAUGGUCUAAAACCUCCUCCACUGCAUCCAAAUUAGCAGAAAUAAUCAUGAUCCACUUUAAUUAGUGACUAUGGAAAUGAAGCCAAGGGCUGGUGGGCAGAGAGCCCGGCAUGGCAGCUGCUGGCAACAGGAAGGGGGCCUGUCCUGGCCAGCGAAGCUAGAGGCCUCAGUGGCUAAGUGUGGUCUUUGGCCUGGGGACCUGAGAGCCCAUAUUCUGGCCUGCACUCGGGUUCUACUCUGGUCUCUGCCACGUGUGAAUGGAGAUGGGGCUUGUCUCCUUCCGUCCCUAAUCACAGCGAUCAGUACCACCAUGGUCACCGCAUGCUACUGCAUGCAAGAGGCUCUGAAUCCCAUCUGGAUCGCAACAUACUGGGUCACCCUCACCCCACUUUACAGAUGAGUAAAUGUGACUCGGAUCUGAGAAACUGGCCUCAUCACUCAGCAUGAGUCCAUGGGUUUCCUGUGCUUGAGCUGGGGGUCCUGAGUUCAGUUCCAUGGAAAGCUUUGGCUCCCAAUUCACCCCAUCAAGGGAGUGAGGAUUCCCAGGGAAUAUGGGUUGGUAGGGGUUAUGGCCCAUUUUGUCAUGUGGUUUGGGGACACUUGGUUUGUAGCCCUCGGCUGAGGAUGCCUACCUUGAGAAACAGAGCUCCCUUAGAGGCCAGGGCGUCGAAGCUGCACCCGUUAGGGUAACAGUGGUAGGCCACGUCCAUGACAGGGUAACGGCUGGCAAAGAAGAGACCACUGUUGAGACACUUGAAAUUGCAGCAACCAUGGCAGCCAUAGACCCCGACGUCAUACAGGAUGUACUCAAAGUAGCCGUGUAGCUGCUCUUUCAACUUAGCAGCCGCACGCUUGUCAAACACCUCCUGCAGGCACAGGAAGUCCAGGUUGGCCGGGAAGAAGGCCGAGACCUCGUGGUCAAAGGCUUCAUCAGGGUGUCGCCGCCUGCGGGCUGCUGCCUUCUUCACCACUGAUGUCUUAUACAAGAGCUUGCUGUUGACUCCCGGCUCUCCGCUGCCACCGCCAUCUUGCCCAGCCCGCGCCUUCACCAGGGACUCCCUGGACGCCGAGGGGCUGCCCAGGCUCCCAGAAUCCCCAUCUCGCUGAUUGUGGUUGGGCGUCUGGCCCUUUGGGGUCCCACCAGCCCCAUUCCCAAUUUGGCUCCCAGUAGCAGGGUCAUCAGCUUCCGGUGGACGCCCUCCUUCGUCACCUCCAAUGCGCACAAUGCAGCUGUCCUCGAGGCUGCCAUCAGCCGGGUCCCCAGAGGCCGGGCCAUUGGCAGCCUCAUCACUGGGGUGACGCCCACCAUCCCCCUUGUAUUCCACAGAGGCCGUCCUCUUAAUGCUACCAGGGACAGCUCUGGCUCCAUCACUGCCCUGCGGAGACACCAGGCUGCUGAAGCUGGCUGCACUGAUGGAGGUGUUGGUGGGAGAAUCAAUGUAGAUUUUGAUCUGAGGCCUGGCGGCCCCAUUGCGGAUUCUCUGCCCAAUCUCUUUGGCCCGCGCUUGGGUGUUGAAAACAUUGUUGAGCCUCGCGAGUGAGUCAGGAAGGAGGCAGACGUUGGCUGUGGCAAAACAAAAGCUUUUGCCAGCCCCCGUGCCCUUCCAUUCACUGAGCAGGGCUGCCCCUCCAGCUGGGCUCUUGUCCUCUAACCGGGAGUAGGAGUAGGGCCGGCGGGCAGACUGCAGUGGAGACCAGAAGAUGAACCCAAGAAAGGCAAAAGGCAAUGCAGCCACAAGCAGAGCCAGGUAGACUGGCGUGAAGAGUACAGUGCAGAAGAGCUGCAGGCAGCAAGGGUCAUCUGCCCUCUGACGCUUCUCAUAGGUGGUGGGUAUGAAAGAGGCCACCAGCCGGUCCACCAGCCAGUAACAUGGGAAGAUGAGGGCCCAGGACACAGCGUGGAGGGCGGACAGACAGCUGUUAGGAAAGGGGGUCGUGUACAAAACCAUCGCAGCUCACUGGGCGCCGCAGCCGCCCUACUACAUGGUGUCCGUGGCAGCUGCAGCACUUUCCAGGCAGGGGUGGGCAAGCUGGGGACAGGCGGAGGAUGGGUCACCUCCUGGAAAGCUGCGACUCUGGAUAGUUAGUGCUAAAUGUUCUGCAGACAUUCAUGGUUCACCUCAAGGGGCCAUGCUGGGACACCAAAGCUCGUUGAGAACCUGUAGAAACAGUGAGAGAGGUCGUUACUAAAUUGGACUGUUGUGAAAACCAGGGAAUCAGUUUUACAUGGAGUGCUUGGGGGCCAGAAGAAUGCUCCAGCCCAUUCCAUUUGCCUAUGUAGUUUUGUUUGUUUGGAAUAAACAGCUUUGUAUAUGGUUGUCCCU
Molecule: non-coding RNA, 2998 nt
Organism: Peromyscus maniculatus bairdii (prairie deer mouse)
Lineage: Eukaryota; Metazoa; Chordata; Mammalia; Rodentia; Cricetidae
Source: RefSeq, a predicted model, not a curated record